Long non-coding RNA from Notothenia coriiceps (black rockcod), 565 nucleotides. RefSeq lists it as uncharacterized. NCBI's taxonomy places the organism in Eukaryota, Metazoa, Chordata, Actinopteri, Perciformes, Nototheniidae. The transcript is spliced from 3 exons. The record is from RefSeq and is a predicted model, not a curated record.
AGUACAUGAAUGACUUGGCAAAAUCCUGCAUGCUGCAUGAUUUUUGCCAAAUCAUUCAUGGUGUGUAGUCCCUUAUAAAAGUAGGCUUUCCCCUCAGUCUAACAUCACUCUCAUCUGGGACCAAGUUAGUGAACUCUCUCUACCUGGGAACCUCAACUCUAAGAUACAGCCAUGGCUCAUCGUCUGCAAGACAUCAUUAAAAGCAUGGUGGAGUUGUUCGUGGAGUACUCUGACGCUGAGGGCAAGAUCAGCAAGGAGCAGAUGAUGAAGAUGAUGGAUAAAGAAAUUGAAUGCGCUGAGAUGAAAGAAAAGCUCAAAGCUAAAAAAUGCGACAAGAAUCCCUGCGACUUCAGAGACUUUUCUUGUUGUCUGGGACAAGCUGCCGUUUGCUGCUACCAAAAGAAGACUGGCAAGGGCCAAGACUGGGAAGACUGCUCAAAAAAGUGCUAAUGGCAUAAUGUUACACUCCCUACACGAGAAUGUGAUGUUUAUUGUCUCACUGUCAAUUGGUUUUCAAAGGCCCUUCAAUACUGGCAAAUAAAAAAUAAAAAUGAUUGAGUUUAAA